GAGGGUGUAGCUCAGUGGUAGAGGGCAUGUUUAGCAUGCACAAGAUCCUGGGUUCAAUCCCCAGUACCUCCA
This 72-nucleotide transfer RNA is filed under the name Camelus bactrianus (Bactrian camel). It matches the Rfam family "tRNA". From Rfam's summary of the family: Transfer RNA (tRNA) molecules are approximately 80 nucleotides in length. The record is from Rfam by way of RNAcentral. Lineage: Eukaryota; Metazoa; Chordata; Mammalia; Artiodactyla; Camelidae. RNAcentral also lists the same sequence under 3 other names.